UCGCGUGGAAGCUGGGAACUGAAUCUAGAGCCCUUAACGACGGCCUUCUGGCGCAGUCCAUUCAAGGGUGUAGGCAAAGGCCUGUUCAGAGGAAAAUGGCACGUAGCUAAGUUGAUGUCGUCUUUUCGACGGUCUUCAGAGGCUGCUCGAUAUUCGGCGUUGUACGAAAGCGUUAAAAUGUGGCUGACCAAUCACACCAAGCCUCCCUGUAACGGCCGCACCGCCGCCUGAACGACACGGUGGUUAUAAAAUGCGGAGGUUAAAGAAAAUAUAUGGCGUGAACGGCUGAGGAAUGACGACGAGGUUUAGACAAAAAAACGCUCCGGCUUGGUUUGAAUGUACCACCACGUGAAACCCGCGUCCGUCCGCAGAGAUCGUGUCAGGUGUGUUGGGCCGAGGCUGCUGGAAUGUUUUUCAUCAGGUGCUCUCUGAAGAUUUCCACAUAUUCCGGGAAGCCUUCUUUAGGCUGGAAUGGGAGAGGACGAGCAAGAGUCGAGUAGUGGACAAAUGAUUCCUGACUUAAAGUCUAAAUAAAGGUAAACCUUUCCUGCU
Pygocentrus nattereri (red-bellied piranha) is the source of this 552-nucleotide long non-coding RNA. RefSeq lists it as uncharacterized. The record is from RefSeq and is a predicted model, not a curated record. Lineage: Eukaryota; Metazoa; Chordata; Actinopteri; Characiformes; Serrasalmidae. The transcript has 2 exons.